RNAcentral lists this ribosomal RNA (250 nucleotides) under uncultured gamma proteobacterium DCM-FREE-24. RNAcentral's name for it is "partial 16S ribosomal RNA". It matches the Rfam family "Bacterial small subunit ribosomal RNA", at positions 8 to 261 of the family's 1533-position model. Lineage: Bacteria; Pseudomonadati; Pseudomonadota; Gammaproteobacteria. The record is from RNAcentral.
AGAGUUUGAUCAUGGCUCAGAUUGAACGCUGGCGGCAGGCCUAACACAUGCAAGUCGAACGGUAACAUUUCUAGCUUGCUAGAAAAUUACCAGUGGCGGACGGGUGAGUUAUGCUUGGGAACUUGCCUUUGCGAGGGGGAUAACAGUUGGAAACGACUGCUAAUACCGCAUAAUGUCUUCGGACCAAACUGGGCUUCGGCUCCGGCGCAAAGAGAGGCCCAAGUGAAGAUUAUCUUGUUGGUAAGGUAAC